AAUACGUAGGUGGCGAGCGUUGUCCGGAAUUACUGGGUGUAAAGGGCGUGUAGGCGGGUUUGCAAGUCAGAUGUGAAAUUCCAGGGCUCAACCCUGGCGCUGCAUCUGAAACUGUAGAUCUUGAGUGCUGGAGAGGGAAGCGGAAUUCCUAGUGUAGCGGUGAAAUGCGUAGAUAUUAGGAGGAACACCAGUGGCGAAGGCGGCUUUCUGGACAGUAACUGACGCUGAGGCGCGAAAGCGUGGGGAGCAAACAGGA
Molecule: ribosomal RNA, 256 nt
Filed under: uncultured prokaryote
Description: partial 16S ribosomal RNA
Rfam family: Bacterial small subunit ribosomal RNA
Source: RNAcentral